GUGCGUCACAAAGAUGGUCUUUCAAUCUGCGUGGGACCAGGCGUGAGAACGAAAGGAUGAUUUAGAAAAGGGGACAGACCACGAUUUCGCGCAAGCGCAAGAAAAGCGCUAGAGGCUCUUUGUCCUGCGAGUUGUUCAAAAGAAGCGACGCUGGUAAAUUGAGUUUGGCUGAGCGAGUGGGGCUGCGUGGAGGUGCGCACGCGCCUAAAAGAGAAGAUAAAAGGCGGGUUUUCCGUCGGGUGACUGGCGUCUCUGGCGUGUGGAUGGUUAACGGUGGUUGGAAUUGGACGCAACUUCCAGAGGACGGAGAGUGGAGGAGAACCAAUGAAACAGCUCUUUGAUUUCGUUCUUGGUAUUAUUUGGACUCAGCCUCGGUUGCUAUUGCUUACUGCGGUGAGAAGUGGUGAGGUGGCCUGCGGCGCUUGAAGUCUAUUUGGCCCGCCGUGAGGGAGCGCUCCUAGCGUUCUAUCUGCUGUCUCCACCGUUCCUGCUGUAGAUCUUCAUUGAAGGGUUUCUGUAAAAGCAAGACCCUAGAAGAUAAUCGUCACCCUCACUUACUCCUCUAACUAAACUUUUUCUAGUUGUAGAGCAGUGGUUCUCAACCUGUGGGUCGCAUAUUUUCGAUGGUCUUAGGAAUCGAGCCAUAAUUUUAUGGUUGGAGGUCACCACAACAUGAGGAACUGUAUUAAAGGGUCGUGGCAUUGAAGGUUGUAGAGUAUUUUCUUCCCCCAGAGCUUGCAUUACAAUCCCUGGAUACUUUAUACGGAACUUGUGUGCUUCGGCUCCUGAUAACUUAAUGUUUGUUCCUCAAAGACUGGUGAAGAAAGGAAAACGACAUUCCUCCACCCUACUACUGAUGGGCAGAAAACUUUCCUUAAUCUGUUUUAUUACAAUUUAUUGAGAAAUUGUGAUCCCUUCCAUCAUACAUUAGAAACAGAAUUACCAAGACCAAGAAAGUUUGGGUCUAAUAUACAAUGGAGCAUGGGAAAAUGGAUUAUUUCUGUGAACAAGUACAACAAAAAGAUGCGGGCCGCAGAUUUCAAAUUGGCCAGGAAUUUCUGGAUUAUUUGAAUGAUCCCAGCAUUUCUACUGAUCUUGAGCAGGAUCAGCAGCACCUUGAUAAAGUAAUCAAUGAAUUAACAGGAUGGGUUAACUCUAGUAAUUAUAAGGUAUCACUACUUGGAUUAGAACUCCUAGGUGCCUUUGGUGAAAGACUAUUAGGACGUUUCAGAACCUAUGUAGGAACUGGUAACGUAGUAUAGA
Molecule: non-coding RNA, 1263 nt
Organism: Notechis scutatus (mainland tiger snake)
Lineage: Eukaryota; Metazoa; Chordata; Lepidosauria; Squamata; Elapidae
Source: RefSeq, a predicted model, not a curated record